Long non-coding RNA from Cucumis sativus (cucumber), 768 nucleotides. RefSeq lists it as uncharacterized. The transcript is spliced from 4 exons. The record is from RefSeq and is a predicted model, not a curated record. Lineage: Eukaryota; Viridiplantae; Streptophyta; Magnoliopsida; Cucurbitales; Cucurbitaceae.
CUCCUCUUCCUCUUCUUCUCUUCUUCUUCUUCUCUUCUUUUUCUUCUUCUCUCCCUCUCUCAUGCAAGUCGGAAACGACGCGACUUUUCGUCAACGACACGCCUGAAAUCCCCGUCUUUCUCUCCUUCAGUCGACGCCACCACCCAACACCCUUUGCACCGCUGAACUCAUCGAUGAAUCUCAGCCACCACAUGCGGUAGCUCGCUGGAGAUCAAGCACAUCGUGUUUCAUUUGGUUUUAACUCGUGGAUGAAUACUACUUAAAGUCUAGCGGUUCAAAAUUCAUAAAAGAUGUCAAAAUUCCUUUGCUUUGCAUCCAGGAAAAUCCAAACUACUGUAUAUUAAUAGUAACACCCAAAGGUGGGCAUCUAGGGUGGGUUACAGGGCCCGGUGCUCCCUUUCGGUUUUCCAUGGAUCGAUCCACUCAUGAUCGAUUUCCUCAUGUAUUUGGAAAACCAAAAAUUCAAAGCCUCAGCUUCUUCUACAGGUUUAACAACGCAGAGGUUCCAAUGGAGCUGGCAAAGUUCAUGAAAUUUUCUUCAAAGAAGCUAAUCAGAGUCAUCAAAAUACAUUGGCUGGUUUUAGAAAUGAAGGAUUUGACCAUGGUUCAAGCAACAAAGAAUAUUUUUAGAGGUGAAGGUUUAUCGGUUGGUUGUUUAUGCUUGUACAGAAAAUCAUGUUAUAUGUAUUAUGAUGGUAUUUACACUGGUUUUGAUUAAGAGUUGUAAUUUCAUACUUGUAAAUUGUUCAAACUUGAUUGGAAAUGUAC